CCUACGGGAGACAGCAGUGAGGAAUAUUGGUCAAUGGGCGCGAGCCUGAACCAGCCAAGUAGCGUGAAGGAUGACUGCCCUACGGGUUGUAAACUUCUUUUAUAAAGGAAUAAAGUGAGGCACGUGUGCCUUUUUGUAUGUACCUUAUGAAUAAGGAUCGGCUAACUCCGUGCCAGCAGCCGCGGUAAUACGGAGGAUCCGAGCGUUAUCCGGAUUUAUUGGGUUUAAAGGGUGCGUAGGCGGCCUUUUAAGUCAGCGGUGAAAGUCUGUGGCUCAACCAUAGAAUUGCCGUUGAAACUGGGGGGCUUGAGGAUGUUUGAGGCAGGCGGAAUGCGUGGUGUAGCGGUGAAAUGCUUAGAUAGCACGCAGAACCCCGAUUGCGAAGGCAGCCUGCCAAGCCAUGACUGACGCUGAUGCACGAAAGCGUGGGGAUCAAACAGGAUUAGAUACCCGUGUAGUC
This 460-nucleotide ribosomal RNA is filed under the name uncultured bacterium. RNAcentral's name for it is "partial 16S ribosomal RNA". It matches the Rfam family "Bacterial small subunit ribosomal RNA", at positions 338 to 795 of the family's 1533-position model. The record is from RNAcentral.